UGCCUUCUGGUUCGGAAUAACCCUGGGAAACUAGGGCUAAUACCGGAUACGCCCUUUUGGGGAAAGGUUUACUGCCGGAAGAUCGGCCCGCGUCUGAUUAGCUAGUUGGUGGGGUAACGGCCUACCAAGGCGACGAUCAGUAGCUGGUCUGAGAGGAUGAUCAGCCACACUGGGACUGAGACACGGCCCAGACUCCUACGGGAGGCAGCAGUGGGGAAUAUUGGACAAUGGGCGCAAGCCUGAUCCAGCCAUGCCGCGUGAGUGAUGAAGGCCUUAGGGUUGUAAAGCUCUUUUAUCCGGGACGAUAAUGACGGUACCGGAGGAAUAAGCCCCGGCUAACUUCGUGCCAGCAGCCGCGGUAAUACGAAGGGGGCUAGCGUUGCUCGGAAUCACUGGGCGUAAAGGGCGCGUAGGCGGCGUUUUAAGUCGGGGGUGAAAGCCUGUGGCUCAACCACAGAAUGGCCUUCGAUACUGGGACGCUUGAGUAUGGU
This 491-nucleotide ribosomal RNA is filed under the name Methylobacterium radiotolerans. RNAcentral describes it as "bacterial SSU rRNA". It matches the Rfam family "Bacterial small subunit ribosomal RNA", at positions 127 to 652 of the family's 1533-position model. Lineage: Bacteria; Pseudomonadati; Pseudomonadota; Alphaproteobacteria; Hyphomicrobiales; Methylobacteriaceae. The record is from RNAcentral.